This 464-nucleotide ribosomal RNA is filed under the name uncultured Pelotomaculum sp. Its description in RNAcentral is "bacterial SSU rRNA". It matches the Rfam family "Bacterial small subunit ribosomal RNA", at positions 920 to 1382 of the family's 1533-position model. Lineage: Bacteria; Bacillati; Bacillota; Clostridia; Eubacteriales; Desulfotomaculaceae. The record is from RNAcentral.
CCCGCACAAGCGGUGGAGCAUGUGGUUUAAUUCGACGCAACGCGAAGAACCUUACCAGGGCUUGACAUCCCCUGACCGCGUAUGAAAGUACGUUUUCACCCUCGGGUGACAGGGAGACAGGUGGUGCAUGGUUGUCGUCAGCUCGUGUCGUGAGAUGUUGGGUUAAGUCCCGCAACGAGCGCAACCCCUACGUUUAGUUGCUAACGCGUGAAGGCGAGCACUCUAGACGAACUGCCGUUGACAAAACGGAGGAAGUGGGGAUGACGUCAAAUCAUCAUGCCCCUUAUGUUCUGGGCUACACACGUGCUACAAUGGCCGGUACAGACGGACGCAAAGCCGCGAGGUGGAGCAAAUCCUAAAAAGCCGGUCUCAGUUCGGAUUGCAGGCUGCAAUUCGCCUGCAUGAAGUCGGAACCGCUAGUAAUCGCAGGUCAGCAUACUGCGGUGAAUACGUUCCCGGGCCUU